UACGGAGGGGGCAAGCGUUGUUCGGAAUUACUGGGCGUAAAGGGCUCGUAGGUGGCCAACUAAGUCAGACGUGAAAUCCCCAGGCUCAACUUGGGAACUGCGUCUGAUACUGGAUGGCUUGAAUUCGGGAGAGGGAUGCAGAAUUCCAGGUGUAGCGGUGAAAUGCGUAGAUAUCGGGAGGAACACCAAAGGCGAAAGCAGGAUCCUGGUCAGAUUCUGACACUCAUGCACGAAGGCUAGGGGAGCAAACGGG
RNAcentral lists this ribosomal RNA (253 nucleotides) under uncultured bacterium. Its description in RNAcentral is "partial 16S ribosomal RNA". It matches the Rfam family "Bacterial small subunit ribosomal RNA", at positions 524 to 776 of the family's 1533-position model. The record is from RNAcentral.